AGUGAACGCUGGCGGUAGGCCUAACACAUGCAAGUCGAACGGCAGCACAGUAAGAGCUUGCUCUUACGGGUGGCGAGUGGCGGACGGGUGAGGAAUACAUCGGAAUCUACUUUUUCGUGGGGGAUAACGUAGGGAAACUUACGCUAAUACCGCAUACGACCUACGGGUGAAAGCAGGGGAUCUUCGGACCUUGCGCGAUUGAAUGAGCCGAUGUCGGAUUAGCUAGUUGGCGGGGUAAAGGCCCACCAAGGCGACGAUCCGUAGCUGGUCUGAGAGGAUGAUCAGCCACACUGGAACUGAGACACAGUCCAGACUCCUACGGGAGGCAGCAGUGGGGAAUAUUGGACAAUGGGCGCUAGCCUGAUCCAGCCAUACCGCGUGGGUGAAGAAGGCCUUCGGGUUGUAAAGCCCUUUUGUUGGGAAAGAAAAGCAGCAGGUUAAUACCCCGCUGUUCUGACGGUACCCAAAGAAUAAGCACCGGCUAACUUCGUG
RNAcentral lists this ribosomal RNA (492 nucleotides) under uncultured bacterium. RNAcentral describes it as "partial 16S ribosomal RNA". It matches the Rfam family "Bacterial small subunit ribosomal RNA", at positions 29 to 507 of the family's 1533-position model. The record is from RNAcentral.